AUUGAACGCUGGCGGCAGGCUUAACACAUGCAAGUCGAGCGGGGGAAGGUAGCUUGCUACCGGACCUAGCGGGGUACGGGUGAGUAAUGCUUAGGAAUCUGCCUAUUAGUGGGGGACAACAUCUCGAAAGGGAUGCUAAUACCGCAUACGUCCUACGGGAGAAAGCAGGGGAUCGUCGGACCUGGCGCUAAUAGAUGAGCCUAAGUCGGAUUAGCUAGUUGGUUGGGUAAAGGCCUACCAAGGCGACGAUCUGUAGCGGGUCUGAGAGGGUGAUCCGCAACACUGGGACUGAGACACGGCCCAGACUCCUACGGGAGGCAGCAGUGGGGAAUAUUGGACAAUGGGGGGAACCCUGAUCCAGCCAUGCCGCGUGUGUGAAGUAGGCCUUAUGGUUGUAAAGCACUUUAAGCGAGGAGGAGGCUACUUUAGUUAAUACCUAGAGAUAGUGGACGUUACUCGCAGAAUAAGCACCGGCUAACUCUGUGCCAGCAGCCGCCGUAA
RNAcentral lists this ribosomal RNA (501 nucleotides) under uncultured bacterium. RNAcentral's name for it is "partial 16S ribosomal RNA". It matches the Rfam family "Bacterial small subunit ribosomal RNA", at positions 30 to 523 of the family's 1533-position model. The record is from RNAcentral.